This 495-nucleotide ribosomal RNA is filed under the name uncultured bacterium. RNAcentral's name for it is "partial 16S ribosomal RNA". It matches the Rfam family "Bacterial small subunit ribosomal RNA", at positions 29 to 523 of the family's 1533-position model. The record is from RNAcentral.
AUUGAACGCUGGCGGCAUGCCUUACACAUGCAAGUCGAACGGUAGAGGGGGCAACCUCUCGAGAGUGGCGAACGGGUGAGUAAAGCAUCGGAACGUGCCCAGUAGUGGGGGAUAGCCCGGCGAAAGCCGGAUUAAUACCGCAUGAGACCUACGGGUGAAAGGGGGGGAUCGCAAGACCUCUCGCUAUUGGAGCGGCCGAUGUCAGAUUAGGUAGUUGGUGGGGUAAAGGCCUACCAAGCCGACGAUCUGUAGCUGGUCUGAGAGGACGACCAGCCACACUGGGACUGAGACAAGGCCCAGACUCCUACGGGAGGCAGCGGUGGGGAAUUUUGGACAAUGGGCGAAAGCCUGAUCCAGCCAUGCCGCGUGCGGGAAGAAGGCCUUCGGGUUGUAAACCGCUUUUGUCAGGGAAGAAAUCCUUUGAGUUAAUACCUCGGGGGAUGACGGUACCUGAAGAAUAAGCACCGGCUAACUACGUGCCAGCCGCCGCCGUAA